UAGAGAAGAGGAGCUUCCCCCCUCGUUCCGAUACAUCCUUUCGAAUGUUCCAAUUCCACACCGUUUAAUCUGAGAAAACACAAGUGAUAUCUUCAAAACUGGAAGUCUACUUCCAAGUUCAAAUCAUCAACAGAAUCUCUAGAUGCAAAUGUGAAGAGGCAGAUUUUUCCUGUUGGUCCAAACAGGACUGGUUAGCCUGCUGAACGUAACCAGCCUUGAGACCAGCCAGGCAACAUCAAUAAUAACAACAUGGGAAUGGGAAAGAAAAUAUUAAAGGU
Molecule: long non-coding RNA, 278 nt
Organism: Limulus polyphemus (Atlantic horseshoe crab)
Lineage: Eukaryota; Metazoa; Arthropoda; Merostomata; Xiphosura; Limulidae
Exons: 3
Source: RefSeq, a predicted model, not a curated record